GCGCAGCUGCGUAAGCGAUAGUAGUGGAUAUCCUUUUUUGUCGGCUUGCGAGCCGGCAAAAAAGAUAGGAGCGGAUAGCGCGGUCUUCA
Molecule: small RNA, 89 nt
Filed under: Epilithonimonas arachidiradicis
Lineage: Bacteria; Pseudomonadati; Bacteroidota; Flavobacteriia; Flavobacteriales; Weeksellaceae
Description: Chryseobacterium arachidiradicis Flavo-1 RNA
Rfam family: Flavo-1 RNA
Source: RNAcentral